Long non-coding RNA from Apis dorsata (giant honeybee), 322 nucleotides. RefSeq lists it as uncharacterized. The record is from RefSeq and is a predicted model, not a curated record. Lineage: Eukaryota; Metazoa; Arthropoda; Insecta; Hymenoptera; Apidae. The transcript has 3 exons.
AAAAUUAUAUCAUCAGAGAAUAGAGAAGUGUCAUAAAGAAAUUUAAUGCGCGCGAAGAAGAAAGCCACUGUAAGAAUUCAACGAGGAAUCGUAAAAAUUGUCAGAUGACAACGUAAGAGGAAACUAGACUAGCGCACAUAGGGAUGUCAGGUUCAAAGAACGAGAAGCCACAGUGUCGUGAAGACGAAGACGGCCGGCGGUAAAAUAGCCGGGAAAAUUAGAAAAGCCGCAACAAGGCGCGGUGAUCCGGGUCUCUUAAUGACAAAGCUGCUCGGCCGUAUCGUUUCUGAGAUUUUUCGCUCGGCCCUAUCUCCGUUUCCCU